GAGUUUGAUCGUGGCUCAGAUUGAACGCUGGCGGCAUGCCUUACACAUGCAAGUCGAACGGUAACAGGUCUUCGGAUGCUGACGAGUGGCGAACGGGUGAGUAAUACAUCGGAACGUGCCCGAUCGUGGGGGAUAACGGAGCGAAAGCUUUGCUAAUACCGCAUACGAUCUACGGAUGAAAGUAGGGACCGCAAGGCCUUGCGCGGACGGAGCGGCCGAUGGCAGAUUAGGUAGUUGGUGGGAUAAAAGCUUACCAAGCCGACGAUCUGUAGCUGGUCUGAGAGGACGACCAGCC
RNAcentral lists this ribosomal RNA (295 nucleotides) under uncultured microorganism. Its description in RNAcentral is "partial 16S ribosomal RNA". It matches the Rfam family "Bacterial small subunit ribosomal RNA", at positions 9 to 309 of the family's 1533-position model. The record is from RNAcentral.